This 466-nucleotide ribosomal RNA is filed under the name uncultured bacterium. RNAcentral's name for it is "partial 16S ribosomal RNA". It matches the Rfam family "Bacterial small subunit ribosomal RNA", at positions 28 to 507 of the family's 1533-position model. The record is from RNAcentral.
GAUGAACGCUGGCGGCGUGCUUAACACAUGCAAGUCGAACGGAAAGGCUCCUGCUUGCAGGGGUACUCGAGUGGCGAACGGGUGAGUAACACGUGGGUGAUCUGCCCUGCACUUCGGGAUAAGCCUGGGAAACUGGGUCUAAUACCGGAUAGGACGAUGGUUUGGAUGCCAUUGUGGAAAGUUUUUCGGUGUGGGAUGAGCUCGCGGCCUAUCAGCUUGUUGGUGGGGUAAUGGCCUACCAAGGCGUCGACGGGUAGCCGGCCUGAGAGGGUGUACGGCCACAUUGGGACUAAGAUACGGCCCAGACUCCUACGGGAGGCAGCAGUGGGGAAUAUUGCACAAUGGGCGCAAGCCUGAUGCAGCGACGCCGCGUGGGGGAUGACGGCCUUCGGGUUGUAAACUCCUUUCGCUAGGGACGAAGCGUUUUGUGACGGUACCUGGAGAAGAAGCACCGGCUAACUACGUG